Molecule: ribosomal RNA, 30 nt
Filed under: Bemisia tabaci
Lineage: Eukaryota; Metazoa; Arthropoda; Insecta; Hemiptera; Aleyrodidae
Description: partial 5.8S ribosomal RNA
Source: RNAcentral
CCCGACCGGUGGAUCACUCGGCUCGCGGAU